AGAGGAAGUGAAAACGCUCCUCCCCGCCCGCUUUGGGGAGCUCCCACAACCAUACAAUCAACUCUUUUUACGGCUAGACACUGCCAGCCAUAUCACAGCAUUGAAAAUAACACAUAUUUUAAGACAUUUAUAAGAAUACGAUCGGGAAAAGCCGGUCAUUUUUUGUAGCAUAUAUUUAGCACACGGUGACAACUGUCUCGUUGGAAAAUGCCUUGUAAAUCGCAAUCGCGAAACAAAUGCUGGACAUCAGCUGUCAACUUAGGCUAUGUAGGACUGGUGCUUGUCUUGGUUGGAGGUGCUUCUGCCAUGGAUGUGCUGGUAGCCAAUCAGAUCAGAGCACUCAACGGUACCACGGUCAAAAUCUCCUGCACAUUCACUUCCUGUUACAAGGUGGACAACAGCAAGUUUGCCAUGAAUUGGAGCUACCAGGAGACAGCCAAUGACACCAAGGAGAUGUUCAUGAUCUUUCAAAAGAAUAAGAUGCAGCCUCUGAAUACGGUACGGUUAGGGGAUCGGGUGACGUUUGUGGGGAACCUGGACAAGAACGACGUUUCAGUCACCUUGGCGGACGUGCAGAUCUUUGACGAGGGAUUGUACAACUGCUACGUGCGCAACCCACCUGACCGCGUCCAAGGCCUUGGCGUUAUCGAGCUCAUUGUGGUGACAGAAUUGCCACCACCUCGGGACACCACCAUCGCCGUGGUGAUCGGGGCAUCGGUGGGGGGCAUCCUGGCCCUGCUCAUUCUGUCCAUGGUGGUGGUGAAAUGUGUGCGUCGCCACCGGAAACAGGAGCUUAUCUCCGACGAGCAGAAGAUGGAGGAGGAGGCCAAGCUGGACGGAGAGGGGGGUGCAGAGGAGGGCACAAAACAACUCUAACCAGGCUGCUUGAUCCCGAAGGCCUUGGGUUGGUGGAGCCUGCCCCGCCUCUCAUGAUUUGAAAUAUAUAUUCCCUGCCUGAAGAUGUAUAUUGAACCUUGCUUGGGUCGCCGUCCUGCACCAGCCUCACCCUCUACCCACCGUCCUCUUCUUGGUCUUUCACACAAGAUCUCAGCCCAAGCAACGAACUGCUCCAAGUCUGCUUUAAGUCUGCUUAUCCACAUGCCCUGGUUUCUUGGUCUUCCUUAGAUGUCCCAGAAACGUAGGUAUCUAGAUGACAGGUUAAGAAGAACAGGUUAGGUCAGACGUUUGAACACUGCCACUUUCUCUCUCUCUCUUUCUCUCUCCCUCUCUCGUGGAAACUUUCCACAUUUCGGUUUAUUAGCGCCAUUCUUUAGCGUAUCGUCCAGUGUGCUGUGAUUUAAAUUUGGUUUUGUCUUCCACACACACUGCCAAAAUCUUUUAUAAAAGAGUGACUUCUGUUUACUAGAAAAUGGAGAGAUUUCCCCCUUAUCUAUAGAUAUAGGUUUCCUGUCUUCUUCUCCAACUUCCUGUUUCUCUCUAGGGACCAAAUGUGGCGGGGGGCUUCCACAUCUUCUUUAUAUGAUAGCUAGUUAGAGUGUUUGUGUGCGAGGGACAAGUCAUGUGUGUGUUUGGUGGUGUAAAUGUUUUUGUAUCAGUUUGCAUCUUGAGAACCCCAUAGAUUGCAUCUAACCCUAGGCUCCUGUAGAGGACGUGUACCCUUCCCCCAGUACAUAAAAUGGGAGAUAGAUAUGUAUGUGUGUGUGUGUGUGUGUGUGUGUGUGUGUGUGUGUCCAAGCGCAAGUGUUUGUGUAUGUGGGUGAAUGUGUGGAUAUAUGGACAGUCCCUCUCGGUGAAUAUAUAAACACUUAGCUAGUAUUUUGUUUGUUUGUUGCACUGCUUGCUAACUUGCUGUUGUGUCAUGCUUUUAGUCACACGGGUGCAUUUUGUUGUGCAGUUUGGCAUCGCACCUUAGCAUGUUUUCAUUAGCAUACACUAUGACAGAUCCCCCUAAGCCUAAAGGAAGCCCCAUCAUCCCCAACACUGCAAGGGUUUGAUGCUAACUCAGCUCGAUGCUAACUCAGCUCGAUGCUACCUCAGCUCGAUGCUAACUCAGCUUGAUGCUAGCUCAGCUCCUAAAUGAAAUACUGUAUGUUCCACUGCCUUCAUAGAUACAGGAAGAUAUCUGUUGACAUUGUUGUUACAUGUACAGAUGGGUGAACACACACAUUCACGCCGAAGAACCCUAGCUUACACACACAGGCAGGGACCUUCUUUGUCACACACACACACACACACACACACACAUGCAGAGUACAGUACAGUACUUUCUACAUGCAAUGAUGCAUACCAUGCCUAGUACACAAAUGCAGUGCACCUUCAGGGAACAUAAAUUUGAACAAAAUUCAGUUUGUAAGGACAAAAAUAUAUAGACUUUAUAAACCAAACCAAACUCACUGUACAUAGGGCGAUGUAUUACUGUUGCUGUUUGGAUCAUUUCUGGUGUCUUAUUAUAUAUUUGAAUGUAUUGUUUGAGACUUCAGUUUAUAGAAUUGCUAACUAUUAACUAUUUAGUUGUAAUAGUUCUAGACUAUAUUACACAUGUGGUACAAAAUAAAUCUAUGAAGAAUUUUAGGAUACAUCUAUAUAUGAUUCUAAACUAAAUGGAAUAAAAAAUAUUUCAAGGUUUAUAUUUUACCAAUCUUAAAAAAGAGUCUUGAUUAGCCAGAGAAGAGCUGGGCCACUGCCAGAGUAUUUUACUGAUAAUGUUUGAUACAUUUGUUAAAAGAACAGUUGCUAAAAAAGCAUAGCACAAAGCAUAGACAAUUAUGAAAUAUGAAAAACCAAGCCAAUGUAAGACUCAAAGGUGACAUCUCCAGCAGUACUUUAACACAGGGAUUUCUUACAAAUGUCACUGAGUCAUUUUGAGACCAUAAUGUAUCCACGGAUAUUUUUCAGGCAGUUUAUAGUGAAGCAUAUAGUUUCUGACCACAGGUCUGAUCAGAGGUUUGAACACCAAACCCUCUUCUCAACCACCAUAGCAGUUAUAAAGACAAGUACAAGGGCUGAUUUUUGGGGCAGAAAAUAUUGGCCCAAAAUUUCCAUCAGAAAACUCCCCUUGUGCCAGUUACAUUAAAAUCACAAUUUAUUGGAAGUGUAACCACAUCAAAUAACACAAAUGCAUUAUUUCUUCCAAAACCACAUAGGAAGUAUUUAUUUUACUUCAUCUGGCCCAAUAGCCACUGCCAAAGAUAAUAAACUAACAAGAACAUUACAUGAUUACCUGUAUCAGAACAAAUUCAAUAUUUCUCUAACAGUAUUUAGUUUAUCUCUACUGGGCUAUCAGUCUGUGGAAAUAUAAUCAUAAUACUAAUUAUUAUUAUUAUUAUUAUUAUUAUUAUUAUUAUUAUCAUCAGUGUAUUAGUUUUCUUGAUCUGAUGUCUUUAAUCACUGUUUUAUAUAUUUGUUUCAUGUUUUCCAUAUUUACUUGCUUUAAUAUUGUAUGUGUGCUUCCUUAUUCUAUCAGUGGAGCAUUGACUGGUUCCAAAAGCCUUAUGCUAUCUUACACACUUAUCCAGAAAACUACCUGAAAGUCUUUAGUGGAUUGUUUUUUUCUUUGUUUGUUUGUUUGUUUGUUUGUUUUCCCUUAGUAAGGGAUUUCUUUUUUAAUUUUGAGUUUUCUUGGAUUAACUGACACAGCCUGUGCUGCUUGUGCAGUGAAAACACUUGCUGUCUUAACUACUUCUUCUAGAAGCCUAGGAACAUUCUUCUUCUAGAAGCCUAGGAACAUUCUAGAAACAUUCUUUAGCUGUCAUGAUCGCUGCUCUCACUGUGCCAUUAUACUUAGACAAUCACCUAUUCUUUUUUUUUCGUGUCUGCUUAUUAAUAUAUAUUUUUCUUUAUUUUUGUCAAUGUUAUAAACAUGUCGUCGGUGUCACUGCUGAAGCAUUUGUCUAAAGCUGCUAACACAUCAUUUAAAUUAGCAGUUGAAGGUGUAUGUGGGCCUAUUUGUAGUUUAUCCAAGCACAGCACAGCACAACGUCUCACAAACAACAAAGAAAAAAAUACAGUUUACCUCCAACUUUUCUAAAAAAAAUAAAUCAAACAAUGCAUGCCAAUUUCAUAGAUUAUAACAUUUCUAAAGUAACAUUUGGGUUCAAAUGACCCUUACCCCGCCAGCCUUCCCCCCCACCCCCAUCCUACCCUCACACCGUGUCUUUCAGUGUUGGGCGGAGCCUUAGUCCUCCAGCCGUCUGUGUGUGAUCAUGCAUGCUUCUACUGCUGUGGCCAUCUGUGCAGGAGGACAGGGCGACGGACCCUGGGCCACUCACAUUGGACACUUAAAGACUAAAAAAAGGCAAAUGCAGAUGAAAGUAGCUUGUUCUGCGAUGUCACGAAGAAUGAUCUGUAGUCACGGACAUAUUUUGAAAUAAAAUGAUUGAAAACA
This is an RNA transcript of Clupea harengus (Atlantic herring), 4345 nucleotides long. It is a transcript of the gene named sodium channel, voltage-gated, type II, beta, with no coding region annotated. The record is from RefSeq and is a predicted model, not a curated record. Lineage: Eukaryota; Metazoa; Chordata; Actinopteri; Clupeiformes; Clupeidae.